AGAUUCUAUUCCCCCCUUUGUACUUUAAAAGCCUGUAAUCAGAGGUUCAGGAAGAACACAGAGGACUGAAAAAUACUGUUUAAGAAGAGGAAGCUACCAAUAGAGUUACGAAUCCUUCCUAUCAACUGCCAGGAGGGUCCUAAUCUUAGAAGUGGGGAAUUUCUCCUGCAAGGUGCAGAGCAAUGUCAGCUCCUACUGAAGUCAUUUAAUAUAUGUCUGAAGUUACUGGAAGAUGAAAGUGCACAGCAUCGCACAGAUUCAGGAGCCAGUCCAAACCCAAUUGAAGUCAUCUGGAACCUGAGUGUCAAUGAAAGAUAGCACAUUUUGUAUAAGUAUUGUCAAUUGACCCCAAUAUUUUCUGGAGGUACAACUUCAAAAAAGCACACCCCAAUCCUGCAACCAGAACUCCACAGAUAAAUUGCAGCACUCAAAGUCCCUCUGAAGUCAAUAAGCCCAUACACAGGUACAGUGCUGCAUGCAUUCACUUUUAGGAUCAGGAUCUUAUUUAUUAGCUUUGUCUUAUUACUAUAACAUUGCAGUUUAAUUUCAAAAAAUUAAUCCAAACGAACAUGGAACAUGAGUGGAAGACCAAGAUACAAUUCCCAAGGCCUAUAUAUUAAAUAUAUACAUGUGUUUAAAUAUUGACAGCAUAGCGUACUCUCUAAUGCAAUAUGGCAAAAUAAUUCUUAAUAGAAAAAUGAAAUAAAUAAUUA
Long non-coding RNA from Pelodiscus sinensis (Chinese soft-shelled turtle), 713 nucleotides. RefSeq lists it as uncharacterized. NCBI's taxonomy places the organism in Eukaryota, Metazoa, Chordata, Testudines, Trionychidae. The record is from RefSeq and is a predicted model, not a curated record.